CUAUAUAAUUAAUAUCCAGAAUAUAUAUACUUGCUAUGUAAAUAUACAAACACUAUACUGGUCGCCUUACAAAAUUAGGAGCUUGCUGAAAGAUCUCUGACAGGAUGCAAACGUGUAUCAUUCAAUGACUUGCAGAACCUCAACCACUGGGCUAGUGGUUGGACGGACUGGAACCUGGCCUUAGAUACAGAAGGAGGCCCCAAUUGGGCUAAAUACUUCGUUGACUCGCCCAUCAUCGUGAACGCCACAGCUCAGGAGUUCUACAAGCAGCCACUGUACUACGUUCUAGGCCACUUUAGUAAAUUCAUCCCAAGAGGCAGUGUCAAAGUGGACGCGCGCAUGAAGGAAGGUUCAGAAAAGCUCGAGUACGCAGCCUUCAUGACGCCAGCAUCUACAAUCGUUGUGAUCAUCCUCAACAAGGGUGACGAACCUGUCAAGCUCAGAAUCAACGACGUGCUUGGCAUUGCCAGCAUCCAGUACACCAUCUACGAAAGGUCGAUAACGACGUUUAUAUGGGAAAACGAGAAGCAGGCAAAAGAUCAGUCUAAUCUCCAAAGAAACUUCCAAAUAAACAAGACAAUAGGACAGUUUUUAUA
Molecule: long non-coding RNA, 596 nt
Organism: Dermacentor silvarum
Lineage: Eukaryota; Metazoa; Arthropoda; Arachnida; Ixodida; Ixodidae
Exons: 3
Source: RefSeq, a predicted model, not a curated record